RNAcentral lists this ribosomal RNA (170 nucleotides) under Mortierellaceae sp. Its description in RNAcentral is "partial large subunit ribosomal RNA". Lineage: Eukaryota; Fungi; Mortierellomycota; Mortierellomycetes; Mortierellales; Mortierellaceae. The record is from RNAcentral.
CGGGAUGAGCUCUAUUUUAAAUUUUGGCUGGUUUACUAGUCCGAAUUGUAUUAGUUUAUAGAAGCGUUUUCGGUGGCAGCCUGGAUAUAAAUCCCUUGGAAGAGGGUGUCAUUGAGGGUGAGAAUCCCGUCUUUGACUCAGGGCAUGCUACCACGUGAUACGUUUUCAAA